RNAcentral lists this ribosomal RNA (167 nucleotides) under uncultured freshwater bacterium. RNAcentral describes it as "partial 16S ribosomal RNA". It matches the Rfam family "Bacterial small subunit ribosomal RNA", at positions 338 to 503 of the family's 1533-position model. The record is from RNAcentral.
CCUACGGGAGGCAGCAGUGGGGAAUAUUGGACAAUGGGCGAAAGCCUGAUCCAGCCAUGCCGCGUGUGUGAAGAAGGUCUUCGGAUUGUAAAGCACUUUAAGUUGGGAGGAAGGGCAGUAAGUUAAUACCUUGCUGUUUGACGUACCAACAGAAAAGAGCAUAACAC